CCUACGGGAGGCAGCAGUGAGGAAUAUUGGUCAAUGGGCGAGAGCCUGAACCAGCCAAGUCGCGUGAAGGAAGACGGUCCUAUGGGUUGUAAACCUCUUUUGGCGGGGAGCAAUGCCGGGCACGUGUGCGCGUAGGGAGAGUACCCGCAGAAUAAGCAUCGGCUAACUCCGUGCCAGCAGCCGCGGUAAUACGGAGGAUGCGAGCGUUAUCCGGAUUUAUUGGGUUUAAAGGGUGCGUAGGCGGAAUUUUAAGUCAGCGGUAAAAUUUCGGGGCUCAACCCGGGCGGGCCGUUGAAACUGGUGAUCUUGAGUGGGCGAGAAGUAUGCGGAAUGCGUGGUGUAGCGGUGAAAUGCAUAGAUAUCACGCAGAACUCCGAUUGCGAAGGCAGCAUACCGGCGCCCGACUGACGCUGAGGCACGAAAGCGUGGGGAUCGAACAGGAUUAGAUACCCGGGUAGUC
RNAcentral lists this ribosomal RNA (460 nucleotides) under uncultured bacterium. RNAcentral's name for it is "partial 16S ribosomal RNA". It matches the Rfam family "Bacterial small subunit ribosomal RNA", at positions 338 to 795 of the family's 1533-position model. The record is from RNAcentral.